CGCAAGCUCGCGAGAGUAAGCUAAUCUCUUAAAGCCGUUCUCAGUUCGGACUGUAGGCUGCAACUCGCCUACACGAAGUCGGAAUCGCUAGUAAUCGCGGAUCAGCAUGCCGCGGUGAAUACGUUCCCGGGCCUUGUACACGCCGCCCGUCACACCAUGGGAGUUUGUAACGCCCAAAGUCGGUGGCCUAACCUUUAUGGAGGGAGCCGCCUAAGGCGGGACAGAUGACUGGGGUGAAGUCGUAACAAGGUAUC
RNAcentral lists this ribosomal RNA (254 nucleotides) under uncultured bacterium. Its description in RNAcentral is "partial 16S ribosomal RNA". It matches the Rfam family "Bacterial small subunit ribosomal RNA", at positions 1248 to 1500 of the family's 1533-position model. The record is from RNAcentral.